AACGAACGCUGGCGGCAUGCCUAACACAUGCAAGUCGAACGAGAUCUUCGGGUCUAGUGGCGCACGGGUGCGUAACGCGUGGGAAUCUGCCCUUUGGUUCGGAAUAACAGUUGGAAACGACUGCUAAUACCGGAUGAUGACGAAAGUCCAAAGAUUUAUCGCCAGAGGAUGAGCCCGCGUAGGAUUAGCGAGUUGGUGUGGUAAAGGCGCACCAAGGCGACGAUCCUUAGCUGGUCUGAGAGGAUGAUCAGCCACACUGGGACUGAGACACGGCCCAGACGCCUACGGGAGGCAGCAGUGGGGAAUACUGGACAAUGGGCGAAAGCCUGAUCCAGCAAUGCCGCGUGAGUGAUGAAGGCCUUAGGGUUGUAAAGCUCUUUUACCCGGGAUGAUAAUGACAGUACCGGGAGAAUAAGCUCCGGCUAACUCCGUGCCAGCCGCCGCCGUAA
RNAcentral lists this ribosomal RNA (449 nucleotides) under uncultured bacterium. Its description in RNAcentral is "partial 16S ribosomal RNA". It matches the Rfam family "Bacterial small subunit ribosomal RNA", at positions 29 to 523 of the family's 1533-position model. The record is from RNAcentral.